GACGAACGCUUGCGGCGUGCUUAACACAUGCAAGUCGAACGGAAAGGCCCUGCUUUUGUGGGGUGCUCGAGUGGCGAACGGGUGAGUAACACGUGAGUAACCUGCCCUUGACUUUGGGAUGACUUCAGGAAACUGGGGCUAAUACCGGAUAGGAGCUCCUGCUGCAUGGUGGGGGUUGGAAAGUUUCGGCGGUUGGGGAUGGACUCGCGGCUUAUCAGCUUGUUGGUGGGGUAGUGGCUUACCAAGGCUUUGACGGGUAGCCGGCCUGAGAGGGUGACCGGCCACAUUGGGACUGAGAUACGGCCCAGACUCCUACGGGAGGCAGCAGUGGGGAAUAUUGCACAAUGGGCGGAAGCCUGAUGCAGCAACGCCGCGUGCGGGAUGACGGCCUUCGGGUUGUAAACCGCUUUCGCCUGUGACGAAGCGUGAGUGACGGUAAUGGGUAAAGAAGCACCGGCUAACUACGUGCCAGCAGCCGCGGUGAUACGUAGGGUGCGAGCGUUGUCCGGAUUUAUUGGGCGUAAAGGGCUCGUAGGUGGUUGAUCGCGUCGGAAGUGUAAUCUUGGGGCUUAACCCUGAGCGUGCUUUCGAUACGGGUUGACUUGAGGAAGGUAGGGGAGAAUGGAAUUCCUGGUGGAGCGGUGGAAUGCGCAGAUAUCAGGAGGAACACCAGUGGCGAAGGCGGUUCUCUGGGCCUUUCCUGACGCUGAGGAGCGAAAGCGUGGGGAGCGAACAGGCUUAGAUACCCUGGUAGUCCACGCUGUAAACGGUGGGUACUAGGUGUGGGGUCCAUUCCACGGGUUCCGUGCCGUAGCUAACGCUUUAAGUACCCCGCCUGGGGAGUACGGCCGCAAGGCUAAAACUCAAAGGAAUUGACGGGGCCCCGCACAAGCGGCGGAGCAUGCGGAUUAAUUCGAUGCAACGCGUAGAACCUUACCUGGGUUUGACAUGGAUCGGGAGUGCUCAGAGAUGGGUGUGCCUCUUUUGGGGUCGGUUCACAGGUGGUGCAUGGCUGUCGUCAGCUCGUGUCGUGAGAUGUUGGGUUAAGUCCCGCAACGAGCGCAACCCUUGUUCACUGUUGCCAGCACGUUAUGGUGGGGACUCAGUGGAGACCGCCGGGGUCAACUCGGAGGAAGGUGGGGAUGACGUCAAGUCAUCAUGCCCCUUAUGUCCAGGGCUUCACGCAUGCUACAAUGGCUGGUACAGAGAGUGGCGAGCCUGUGAGGGUGAGCGAAUCUCGGAAAGCCGGUCUCAGUUCGGAUUGGGGUCUGCAACUCGACCUCAUGAAGUCGGAGUCGCUAGUAAUCGCAGAUCAGCAACGCUGCGGUGAAUACGUUCCCGGG
RNAcentral lists this ribosomal RNA (1343 nucleotides) under uncultured bacterium. Its description in RNAcentral is "16S ribosomal RNA". It matches the Rfam family "Bacterial small subunit ribosomal RNA", at positions 28 to 1378 of the family's 1533-position model. The record is from RNAcentral.